GAUGAACGCUGGCGGCGUGCCUAAUACAUGCAAGUCGAGCGAACAGACGAGGAGCUUGCUCCUCUGACGUUAGCGGCGGACGGGUGAGUAACACGUGGAUAACCUUCCUAUAAGACUGGGAUAACUUCGGGAAACCGGAGCUAAUACCGGAUAAUAUAUUGAACCGCAUGGUUCAAUAGUGAAAGACGGUUUUGCUGUCACUUAUAGAUGGAUCCGCGCCGCAUUAGCUAGUUGGUAAGGUAACGGCUUACCAAGGCAACGAUGCGUAGCCGACCUGAGAGGAUGAUCGGCCACACUGGAACUGAGACACGGUCCAGACUCCUACGGGAGGCAGCAGUAGGGAAUCUUCCGCAAUGGGCGAAAGCCUGACGGAGCAACGCCGCGUGAGUGAUGAAGGUCUUCGGAUCGUAAAACUCUGUUAUUAGGGAAGAACAAAUGUGUAAGUAACUAUGCACGUCUUGACGGUACCUAAUCAGAAAGCCACGGCUAACUACGUG
RNAcentral lists this ribosomal RNA (497 nucleotides) under uncultured bacterium. RNAcentral describes it as "partial 16S ribosomal RNA". It matches the Rfam family "Bacterial small subunit ribosomal RNA", at positions 28 to 507 of the family's 1533-position model. The record is from RNAcentral.